GAGACAGCAGCCGCCGCGGUAAUACGGAGGGUGCAAGCGUUAAUCGGAAUUACUGGGCGUAAAGCGCACGCAGGCGGUCUGUCAAGUCAGAUGUGAAAUCCCCGGGCUUAACCUGGGAACUGCAUUUUAAACUGGCAGGCUAGAGUCUUGUAGAGGGGGGUAGAAUUCCAGGUGUAGCGGUGAAAUGCGUAGAGAUCUGGAGGAAUACCGGUGGCGAAGGCGGCCCCCUGGACAAAGACUGACGCUCAGGUGCGAAAGCGUGGGGAGCAAACAGGAUUAGAUACCCGCGUAGUCCCUGUCUCUUAUAC
This 308-nucleotide ribosomal RNA is filed under the name uncultured bacterium. RNAcentral's name for it is "partial 16S ribosomal RNA". It matches the Rfam family "Bacterial small subunit ribosomal RNA", at positions 505 to 807 of the family's 1533-position model. The record is from RNAcentral.